Molecule: long non-coding RNA, 1019 nt
Organism: Salvia miltiorrhiza (redroot sage)
Lineage: Eukaryota; Viridiplantae; Streptophyta; Magnoliopsida; Lamiales; Lamiaceae
Exons: 2
Source: RefSeq, a predicted model, not a curated record
UCUUCUUCUUCUUCUUCUUCUUCUUCUUCUCUUUUCUAUACAAAAUGUCUACUUGUGGUGCUAGCUAUAGUAACGUCAAAGAUAUCCUAUUAUCUCAAGUUUGUAUGCAAAUUUCACAAAACCCAGUCAUUAGGGUACAAGAAUCAUCAAAAAAUUCAAGGGCUACAAAGAAGAAAAAAAGCAAAGUUGGGAAUAUCGUACAGUAAGAUCGUUGCAAACUCAUAUUCAAAGUAUCUUGAAAGCAAUUAAGAAAUUGCAUGGUUGCAUAAGUGCAAUUGAAAGUAGGCAUCAAAGCAGUGCCUCAAAUGCUAAUAUAAUGCAACAAGCUGAAGAGUUGCUCAAAGAAAAUCAAAACUACAAGUUUGGUUGGAAAUUCAACCAUGUAUGGCACAUUCUUAAAGAUUUAGAAAAUUUUCAAGAUGGUACUCAAAGCUCCAGACAACAUCCACGUGGAAAUCCUUCUUCUGAAUCUGAAACUCGAACUCCUAAUUCGUUAGACUUAUGGUAGUUCUUCAUCAUCAAGACCCAUCGGAGUAAAGAAAGCAAAAAUGAAGAAAAAGCAGUUCGAAGAUACGACAUCUUUAAUUGCCGCAAUGCAAAAACAUAAUGAGCAACUUGCAGAGGAUAUGAAGACAACAAAUGCACGAAUGAAAUGUCAUUUGGCCAUUCAAGCUAAAAGUUACGCACUUAAGGAAAUGAAGGAAGAAAAUAAAAUUCUAUAUAUGGACUUGAGCUCCAUUCAAGAUCCACAUGUUCGUGCAUUUACUGAAGUUGAAAGAAGACACAUUUUACAGAAAAGAGCCCAACAACAAGGUCAAACAAAUCCUUUUGAAGCUGGAACAUAUUCUUCAUAUUUCAAUAAUAUUGGAGGAUCUGGUUCCGGUCUACCAGAUUAUUAGAUUAGAAUUAUUAGAUUAAUUUUGUAUUUCUCAUGUAGUUUAAAUAUUUGUGUUUGCUUGAUUUUCAAAUCAUGUUAUUUUUAUGUCAUGUGGUAUUUAUAUUAUUAAUAUUGUUUUAAA